GAUGAAGAACGCAGCGAAAUGCGAUAAGUAAUGUGAAUUGCAGAAUUCAGUGAAUCAUCGAAUCUUUGAACGCACAUUGCGCCCGCCAGUAUUCUGGCGGGCAUGCCUGUUCGAGCGUCAUUACAACCCUCAGGCCCCCGGGCCUGGCGUUGGGGAUCGGCGGAGCCCCCCGUGGGCACACGCCGUCCCCCAAAUACAGUGGCGGUCCCGCCGCAGCUUCCAUCGCGUAGUAGCUAACACCUCGCGACUGGAGAGCGGCGCGGCCACGCCGUAAAACACCCAACUUUCUUAGAGUUGACCUCGGAUCAGGUAGGAAUACCCGCUGAACUUAAGCAUAUCAAUAAGCGGAGGA
This 352-nucleotide unclassified non-coding RNA is filed under the name soil metagenome. RNAcentral's name for it is "partial contains 5.8S ribosomal RNA, internal transcribed spacer 2, and large subunit ribosomal RNA". The stretch from base 1 to 120 matches the Rfam family "5.8S ribosomal RNA", at positions 35 to 154 of the family's 154-position model. The record is from RNAcentral.